Molecule: unclassified non-coding RNA, 343 nt
Filed under: soil metagenome
Description: partial contains 5.8S ribosomal RNA, internal transcribed spacer 2, and large subunit ribosomal RNA
Rfam family: 5.8S ribosomal RNA (bases 1-120)
Source: RNAcentral
GAUGAAGAACGCAGCGAAAUGCGAUAAGUAAUGUGAAUUGCAGAAUCCAGUGAAUCAUCGAAUCUUUGAACGCACAUUGCGCCCGCCAGCAUUCUGGCGGGCAUGCCUGUUCGAGCGUCAUUUCAACCCUCGACCUCCCUUUGGGGAAGUCGGCGUUGGGGACCGGCAGCACACCGCCGGCCCUGAAAUGGAGUGGCGGCCCGUCCGCGGCGACCUCUGCGUAGUAAACCAACUCGCACCGGAACCCCGACGUGGCCACGUCGUAAAACACCCAACUUCUGAACGUUGACCUCGAAUCAGGUAGGACUACCCGCUGAACUUAAGCAUAUCAAUAAGCGGAGGA